Molecule: ribosomal RNA, 254 nt
Filed under: uncultured bacterium
Lineage: Bacteria
Description: partial small subunit ribosomal RNA
Rfam family: Bacterial small subunit ribosomal RNA
Source: RNAcentral
AGGACGAACGCUGGCGGCGUGCUUAACACAUGCAAGUCGAGCGGAAAGGCCCUUCGGGGUACUCGAGCGGCGAACGGGUGAGGUAACACGUGAGUAACCUGCCCUAGCUCUGGGAUAGCUCCGGGAAACCGGGAUUAAUACCAGAUACGACCACUUUAGACAUCUGUCGUGGUGGAAAGGAUUCCGGCUAGGGAUGGGCUCGCGGCCUAUCAGCUUGUUGGUGGGGUAACGGCCUACCAAGGCGACGACGGGUA